CAAAAACUAAAUGAACCAAUGCAAAUAAAAGAAAAGAAAAGCAAUGACAGCCCGAAACUAUUAGAUGCAUUUACGACUGAAAAACCAGAAACAUAACCAUCAAACUGCAUCCAGACACCCACUACCAGCCUCAUUACCUCCAUUCCUUCCCCUAUUCCAAAGUCCUAUCCCUGGUCCUAAGGAGAUGGAGAAGUAACAAAUUGCCUAGGCAAACUAAAUAUGUCCUUCCCAGCAAAAGGAGACGUCCACUCAUGCAAACUAGCAGAAGAUGACGAUUCUUUAGUUGCCCCACCAUCCCGCAUCCCUGAUAUGCAGUUACUAUUCAUACCAUUCAUGCUCGUGCCAGUACUGUUCCUCAAUAAUGAAGAAAGCCCCAACCACAACCCACCCAGUUUGGAGGAUGACAGAUUUGAAUCCAAAGUCCAAUCUAUACUGGUAUAGUCAAACUCUGGCAUCAAGCCUCCAGUAUUCCAAUCCACAUGUGAUGAUGAACCUAAAGUUCCUGCU
RNAcentral lists this unclassified non-coding RNA (507 nucleotides) under Hevea brasiliensis (rubber tree). The record is from RNAcentral. Lineage: Eukaryota; Viridiplantae; Streptophyta; Magnoliopsida; Malpighiales; Euphorbiaceae.